This 74-nucleotide transfer RNA is filed under the name Myotis velifer (mouse-eared bat). RNAcentral's name for it is "tRNA-Gln". It matches the Rfam family "tRNA". From Rfam's summary of the family: Transfer RNA (tRNA) molecules are approximately 80 nucleotides in length. Their secondary structure includes four short double-helical elements and three loops (D, anti-codon, and T loops). Further hydrogen bonds mediate the characteristic L-shaped molecular structure. tRNAs have two regions of fundamental functional importance: the anti-codon, which is responsible for specific mRNA codon recognition, and the 3' end, to which the tRNAs corresponding amino acid is attached (by aminoacyl-tRNA synthetases). tRNAs cope with the degeneracy of the genetic code in two manners: having more than one tRNA (with a specific anti-codon) for a particular amino acid; and 'wobble' base-pairing, i.e. permitting non-standard base-pairing at the 3rd anti-codon position. RNAcentral also lists the same sequence under 1 other name. Lineage: Eukaryota; Metazoa; Chordata; Mammalia; Chiroptera; Vespertilionidae. The record is from RNAcentral.
UAGAGUAUAGUGUAAUAUAGGUAGCACGAAGAUUUUUGAAUUCUUAGGAGCAGGUUCAAUUCCUGUAACUCUAG